Molecule: ribosomal RNA, 450 nt
Filed under: uncultured bacterium
Lineage: Bacteria
Description: bacterial SSU rRNA
Rfam family: Bacterial small subunit ribosomal RNA
Source: RNAcentral
UGGCCAGACUCCUACGGGAGGCAGCAGUGGGGAAUAUUGCACAAUGGGGGAAACCCUGAUGCAGCAACGCCGUGUGAGUGAAGAAGUCAUUCGUGAUGUAAAGCUCUAUCAGCAGGGAAGAAAAUGACGGUACCUGAGUAAGAAGCCGCGGCUAACUACGUGCCAGCAGCCGCGGUAAUACGUAGGGGGCAAGCGUUAUCCGGAUUUACUGGGUGUAAAGGGAGCGUAGACGGCAGCGCAAGUCUGGAGUGAAAUGCCGGGGCCCAACCCCGGAACUGCUUUGGAAACUGUGCAGCUCGAGUGCAGGAGAGGUAAGCGGAAUUCCUAGUGUAGCGGUGAAAUGCGUAGAUAUUAGGAAGAACACCAGUGGCGAAGGCGGCUUGCUGGACAGUAACUGACGUUGAGGCUCGAAAGCGUGGGGAGCAAACAGGAUUAGAUACCCCGGUAUUA